CAAGAAGCAGAGACAUGGGCAAAUCACUUGUUUGUGAUGAUAAGCCUCAUGGUGAAUUAAAGAAUAAUGAUCAAAAUAUGUGAACGAAUUGGUUGAAAGAGACAGUACCCUCACUCAGUAUCUCUUCCUUUUUCUUAGAAAUGGUUGAGAAAAAGGCAAAGGGAGCCCACCUGGGGAUAAACAACUGAAGAUAACUGACAUAGCUUUUGGAAUGCAACAUAGCAAGAUAGCAAUGUGUGGAAGGCAUUUCCUAGGGUAUGAAAAGGAUGCAGAUGAGAAUAGAAGACAUGGGCUCACAAUACAUUUUAAGAGGAAGUCAUCAGCAUUUUAAUCCUCUACAAGAACCAUAGACACCCACGCAGCUGUUGUCAGAAGAAAAGGUAAGAAAAACAAUUUUUUUUCCAACAGCAGAAAAGAAUUUGAAUUACUACUUCUUUUAGUCACUUAUUUUUCUCACUCAUGUGCAGUAUUUUCUUUAACUUGGGUACCGCGUUUUGGUUACUAAUAACUGCUGAUCUGUCCUGAAUGAAUGGAUUAGUUUAUAGGAAAGAUUUGCAUGAUAGAGAAUCAAUAGGGCAAGUUUAAAUCCCUUGCUGGUGUGGAGAGAGGAAACAAAUUAAUCUGGUGAUUGUUGAUAAAUUGUGAGCAGAGAAGUGAAAAAAUAUAUUUUUUGGGGGGAAAAAUGAUCGUCUGUAAUGUCAAAAGUGAAAAAUACCAGGAAAAUUCAAGUAAGGGAUCCUAAGCCUCUGCUUUAUCCCACACUCAUAAAAACUGAUUUGAGCUGAUGUUGGAUUCUAUCCAUUAAUAGAGAAAAAAUGACUUUCACAAUUAACUCCUUAUAUGAAUAAGGAGUUUUGCCCAAUAUGAAGUGGUAUACCUGGAUGUUAUAUGUGUGAGGCUACUUUAAGAGAGUCUUAACCCAUAAAUAAGGGAAAGAAGGGAGGAAAGGAC
Molecule: long non-coding RNA, 951 nt
Filed under: Sus scrofa (pig)
Lineage: Eukaryota; Metazoa; Chordata; Mammalia; Artiodactyla; Suidae
Description: lncRNA (ENSSSCG00070010102.1)
Source: RNAcentral